UUGGUUAAGUUAGAAAGGGCGCACGGUGGAUGCCUUGGCACUAGGAGCCGAAGAAGGACGGGACUAACACCGAUAUGCUUUGGGGAGCUGUACGUAAGCGUUGAUCCAGAGAUUUCCGAAUGGGGGAACCCACUAUCUUUAGUCGGAUAGUAUCCUUACGUGAAUACAUAGCGUGAGGAAGGCAGACCCAGGGAACUGAAACAUCUAAGUACCUGGAGGAAGAGAAAGAAAAAUCGAUUUCCUGAGUAGCGGCGAGCGAAACGGAAAGAGCCCAAACCAAGAAGCUUGCUUCUUGGGGUUGUAGGACACUCUAUACGGAGUUACAAAAGAAAGUUAUAAAUGAAGCGGUCUGGAAAGGCCCGCCAAAGACGGUAACAGCCCGGUAGUUGAAAUAGCUUUCCCUCCAGAGUGGAUCCUGAGUACGGCGGAACACGUGAAAUUCCGUCGGAAUCCGGGAGGACCAUCUCCCAAGGCUAAAUACUCCCUAGUGACCGAUAGUGAACCAGUACCGUGAGGGAAAGGUGAAAAGCACCCCGGAAGGGGAGUGAAACAGUUCCUGAAACCGUGUGCCUACAAGUAGUUAGAGCCCGUUAAUGGGUGAUAGCGUGCCUUUUGUAGAAUGAACCGGCGAGUUACGAUUUGUUGCAAGGUUAAGCGGAAAAAGCGGAGCCGUAGCGAAAGCGAGUCUGAAUAGGGCGCAUAAGUAACAGGUCGUAGACCCGAAACCAGGUGAUCUACCCAUGUCCAGGAUGAAGGUAAGGUAAUACUUACUGGAGGUCCGAACCCACGCACGUUGAAAAGUGCGGGGAUGAGGUGUGGGUAGCGGAGAAAUUCCAAUCGAACUUGGAGAUAGCUGGUUCUCUCCGAAAUAGCUUUAGGGCUAGCCUCGAGGUAAAGAGUCAUGGAGGUAGAGCACUGUUUGGACUAGGGGCCCUUCUCGGGUUACCGAAUUCAGAUAAACUCCGAAUGCCAUGUACUUAUACUCGGGAGUCAGACUGCGAGUGAUAAGAUCCGUAGUCGAAAGGGAAACAGCCCAGACCACCAGUUAAGGUCCCCAAAUAUAUGUUAAGUGGAAAAGGAUGUGGGGUUGCUUAGACAACCAGGAUGUUGGCUUAGAAGCAGCCACCAUUGAAAGAGUGCGUAAUAGCUCACUGGUCGAGUGACCCCGCGCCGAAAAUGUACCGGGGCUAAACAUAUUACCGAAACUGUGGAUGAACCUCUUUAGAGGUUCGUGGUAG
This 1238-nucleotide ribosomal RNA is filed under the name Listeria monocytogenes. Its description in RNAcentral is "partial 23S ribosomal RNA". It matches the Rfam family "Bacterial large subunit ribosomal RNA", at positions 1 to 1231 of the family's 2925-position model. The record is from RNAcentral. Lineage: Bacteria; Bacillati; Bacillota; Bacilli; Caryophanales; Listeriaceae.